This 382-nucleotide long non-coding RNA is filed under the name Haliotis rufescens (red abalone). RNAcentral's name for it is "uncharacterized LOC125378690". Lineage: Eukaryota; Metazoa; Mollusca; Gastropoda; Lepetellida; Haliotidae. The record is from RNAcentral.
UACGUUUUCUGAGGUUUGCAUUCAUCAGAAUCAUCAAAUACGCAUUUUCUUAAAGUCACAGUGCUCCUUGUAGCAGUUCUUGCUGCAGUGUUCGGAACCAGCAUGGCCAAGGGUCAUGGUGGUGGUCAUGGUCAUGGUCAUGGAGGUGGUCAUGGAGGUGGAAAGGGUCAUGGCGGCAAAGGUCAUGGUGGUGGCCAUGGGGGCAAGGGACACGGAGGCCAUGGUGUCGGACACGGGGGCAAAGGACAUGGAGGCGGCCAUGGAGGAAAGGGGCACCAUGGAUAAACAUAGCAGCUGAAAGAUGUGUGACGAGAAAGCCCUUGUUUUUUAUUCCACUGCUGCUGGACAACGGGGAAACAACAGCUCAUGUAAAGGUGCGCUG